GGGCCCGCACAAGCGGUGGAGCAUGUGGUUUAAUUCGAUGAUACGCGAGGAACCUUACCAGGGCUUAAAUGUAAGUUGCAUAAGUUAGAGAUAGCUUUUUCUUCGGACUACUUACAAGGUGCUGCAUGGUUGUCGUCAGCUCGUGCCGUGAGGUGUCAGGUUAAGUCCUAUAACGAGCGCAACCCCUGUUGUUAGUUGCCAUCGAGUAAUGUCGGGAACUCUAACAAGACUGCCGGUGCAAACCGUGAGGAAGGUGGGGAUGACGUCAAAUCAUCACGGCCCUUACGGGUUGGGCUACACACGUGCUACAAUGGUAGUGACAAUGGGUUAAUCCCAAAAAGCUAUCU
Molecule: ribosomal RNA, 347 nt
Filed under: uncultured bacterium
Lineage: Bacteria
Description: bacterial SSU rRNA
Rfam family: Bacterial small subunit ribosomal RNA
Source: RNAcentral